AUACGGAGGGUGCAAGCGUUAUCCGGAAUCAUUGGGUUUAAAGGGUCCGCAGGCGGGCUAAUAAGUCAGUGGUGAAAUCCUCCCGCUCAACGGGAGAACUGCCAUUGAAACUGUUAGUCUUGAAUUCGGUCGAAGUAGGCGGAAUGUGUCAUGUAGCGGUGAAAUGCAUAGAUAUGACACAGAACACCGAUAGCGAAGGCAGCUUACUAGACCUGGAUUGACGCUCAUGGACGAAAGCGUGGGGAGCGAACAGGAUUAGAAACCCUAGUAGUCC
Molecule: ribosomal RNA, 274 nt
Filed under: uncultured bacterium
Lineage: Bacteria
Description: partial 16S ribosomal RNA
Rfam family: Bacterial small subunit ribosomal RNA
Source: RNAcentral